This is a long non-coding RNA of Labeo rohita (rohu), 567 nucleotides long. RefSeq lists it as uncharacterized. The record is from RefSeq and is a predicted model, not a curated record. The transcript has 3 exons. Lineage: Eukaryota; Metazoa; Chordata; Actinopteri; Cypriniformes; Cyprinidae.
GUAUUUUAUUUUAUGUUAUUUUAUGUUAUUUUAUUUCAUUUCAUUUCAACACAGCUGGACAAUCAUCCAAAAGAUCUCUCUCACUUUUGUUCUCCAAAUGUUCCUAAACUCAGCAGCCAAAACCUGAAUCAACCACUUCUUCUCCACAUCCUCACUAUUUGUCUUCAUCUACCCGCUUCAUAUACCCCUGGAGGUUUCUGUAAGGUGUCCAAAUGAUUUUCACAGACCAUGUCCUGCCUGUCUCUUUUCUCAGAUUCACAUUCAAACCACUAAAAAUAGAGGGUCCUUCAGCAAAGACGUCAUACGGGUUUGGAACGACAUGAGGCUUCUUCCAUCAGCGAGCAGCUUGUAUCCAGUGGGACAGGAACAGUGGUACGAUCCUGGGACGUUUACACAGGCGUGGCCACACAGAGGCCCUCCACGUGCCCUCGAGUCGACGACUAUGACGCCAGCAACUCCAGAUGCCUGAAUGACAUCACACACUCCUGCUCAUGGAAUCAGUAAGUCAGAAUAAACAUGUACAUUUAAUAAAGAAGAAAGAACCAGUCACACAGUCCGUUGAUGUAA